UGUUAAGGAUGUUUGCAUCUAUGCUCAUGAAGAAUACUGGUCUUUUUCUUGUAAUGUUUUAAACCAGAAGUACAUGUAAUGUAGUAAACCAGAAUACACUGGCUUGAUGAAUUGGUCAAGGUUCCCUUUUCCUCUGUUUUCUCUAAGAUUUUGUGUAGGAUGGGGACCAUUUUCUCCUAACAUGUUUGAUAGAAUUCACUAGUGAAGGUACUGUGGUGUGAAGUUUCACUGUGGAAAUGUCUUUAUUAAUAAAUUCAAUGUAUUUAAAAGGGUGUGUAUGGUUCAUCUGAUUUCCCAUUUCUUCCUGUCACAAUUUUGGUAACUUUUGUUUUUCAAAGAACUCGUCCAUUUCUUUGAAGUAGUCAGAUUUGUUGACAUGAAGUUGUUUAUAAUAUUGCCUUGUUCUCCUUCUCUAGAAAUGGUAUCAUCUACUGCUGCAUAGGCAAACACUUAGAAGCUUAAAACAAAUAUUUAAAGAUUUCACAUAGGUUCCUAGGUUCUGGGUCAGGAAUUCCAAAGUGUGGUAGUUGGGUGGCCCUGGCCCAGGGGCUCUCAUGAAGCUGCAUGCCAUCAGAGGUUGGGGAAGGCCAUAGCCAUUGGGAGGGCUGACCAGGAAUGCAGAAUUGGCCAUCAGGGCAGUUCACACAUGAGUUGGACAGAUUAGGAUUGGUUGCUGGCAGGAGGUCCUUGUCAUGUGAACCUUGCCACUAGGCUUCUUAUCUGUGGUCAUAACAUGACAGCUGGCUGCUCCCAGAGUAGGGGAUUCAAUGCCAAACAAGGUGGACAACACAAUGUCUUUGAGGCCUGGCCUUGGGAGUCACACUUGAAGGAGGAACCCUCUGGCACUGCUGAUGGGAAUGCAGACUGGAGCAGCCAUUGUGGAGAACAGUACGGAGCUUCCUCAAAAAGUUAAAAAUAGAGCUACCCUACAAUCCAAUAAUUGCACUAUUAAGUAUUAAUCUCCAAAAUACAAAAAUACUAAUCUGGGAAACACACUCACCCCAAUGUUUAUAGCAGCAUUAUCAACAACAGCCAAACUGUGGAAGCAGCCAAACUCCCCAUCAACGGAUGAAUGGAUAAAAACGAUGUGGUAUAUACAUAUAUACACAUACAUACCAGGGAGUAUUACUCAUCUAUCAAAAAAAAAAU
Molecule: long non-coding RNA, 1149 nt
Filed under: Mustela putorius furo (domestic ferret)
Lineage: Eukaryota; Metazoa; Chordata; Mammalia; Carnivora; Mustelidae
Description: lncRNA (ENSMPUG00000030146.1)
Source: RNAcentral